Molecule: long non-coding RNA, 1170 nt
Organism: Drosophila teissieri
Lineage: Eukaryota; Metazoa; Arthropoda; Insecta; Diptera; Drosophilidae
Exons: 2
Source: RefSeq, a predicted model, not a curated record
UUAAUGAAUGAUGUCUGGGGUAGUCCACCUCUACAAUUCUGUAAAGGUUCUAUAAGGCAUAUAUUUUUCACACACUGUGAGCUUUCUGCAAUGGAUGCGGCAUCCAAUUGUGUUGAAGUAACAUUUGCGUCGUAGCACUACAUUAUUGGUAAUGAGGGUAUCACAAAGUAUAACAAAACUAUUAUUGCUUUCAUUUUCUAUGAUUUAAGUAUUUUUGCCAAAUUGUUUGUUGCAGUUCGAUUCGAUGAUAAUAGAGCGUUAUCGAUAAUCCCGGUUCGGUCCAGGAUUACUCUUAAAUGGCCUGGAUAAUGUCCAAUGACCCAAGGAGAGGAUUAGGAAUAUGGCGGGAAGCAUGAUAAAAUGGGAAUAAUAGUCAAUCGUAGCCAUACCGACGAGCUAUCCAGUUGCAGCUAGGACAAUUAAGAAACAAAUAACCGGGGUCCCAACAUAAAGGUUCCCCGGGAAAAUCUUUAUUGGAAGUCGGCAAAAAAACAUAUUACUUGGAUCAAGACCGCCAACCUUGCCGCUUAGGAAUUGAGCCAUAUUGGGAAAACUUACCCGUCCGCCAGGCAUUCCGGAGUAGGAUCUCCAUCCAACAUCCUCCCUGAAGCGAUCAUAAUACCGCCGGUGCCACGUUCAUUUGGCUUCUUUAAUUCCGGCACAACACAUGGCUAUUCCGUGAGGCGUCGACCGGCGCAAUUUGUUUCAAGAGUCGUCAACUGCUACUGCUAGUCCUGGCGCUAAAAUUUAAAACUGUUUGUUAAUGCUUAUCAAUAUUCUUUGUUAAUUAAUCCGGAGUCAAACGCGAGUCCGAAUUUUCGUCGUCGUCCCGUUCCAUUGUUGCUAAAUUUGGAUUGCGAGAAUUUAGUUAGUCUGACAAGGAAAUACAACACUUCCUCAAGUUCAAGCGACAACGACGUAUCGAUAAUGGGUGAAUUAUUUAAAAUAAUGCAUUGUUUACCAUUCUGUUUGUUUACUUAUUAGAUAUCGUAGUCGAGUAGAGUUGUGAGUCGUUAAUAGUUAUCGAUAUUUAUGUUGCGAGCUGUGUGGCAAGGGAAAAACUCCGCCCUGGAGCCUAGCUAGCGUUAGCUAGCGGCACUAACACAAAUAAGAGGAUAAGCAGUUCGUAACAUAAUGGCUCGCAAUAUAAAAUAAAAAAAAUUGUCGAGG